ACCUGAGACAUUACCUGGAUAUAACCAGGUUAUAACCUGGUUAUAACCUGAAACAUUACCUGGUUAUAACCUGGUUAUAUCCUGAAACAUUAC
Molecule: non-coding RNA, 93 nt
Organism: Xyrichtys novacula (pearly razorfish)
Lineage: Eukaryota; Metazoa; Chordata; Actinopteri; Labriformes; Labridae
Source: the annotation of a GenBank genome assembly